GAUGAACGCUGGCGGCGUGCCUAAUACAUGCAAGUCGAGCGAACGGACGAGAAGCUUGCUUCUCUGCUGUUAGCGGCGGACGGGGGAGUAACACGUGGAUAACCUCCCUAUAAGACUGGGAUAACUUCGGGAAACCGGAGCUAAUACCGGAUAAUUUUUUGAACCGCAUGGUUCAAAAGUGAAAGACGGUCUUGCUGUCACUUAUAGAUGGAUCCGCGCUGCAUUAGCUAGUUGGUAAGGUAACGGCUUACCAAGGCAACGAUGCAUAGCCGACCUGAGAGGGUGAUCGGCCACACUGGAACUGAGACACGGUCCAGACUCCUACGGGAGGCAGCAGUAGGGAAUCUUCCGCAAUGGGCGAAAGCCUGACGGAGCAACGCCGCGUGAGUGAUGAAGGUCUUCGGAUCGUAAAACUCUGUUAUUAGGGAAGAACAUAUGUGUAAGUAACUGUGCACAUCUUGACGGUACCUAAUCAGAAAGCCACGGCUAACUACGUG
Molecule: ribosomal RNA, 497 nt
Filed under: uncultured bacterium
Lineage: Bacteria
Description: partial 16S ribosomal RNA
Rfam family: Bacterial small subunit ribosomal RNA
Source: RNAcentral